Cinara cedri is the source of this 1990-nucleotide non-coding RNA. Lineage: Eukaryota; Metazoa; Arthropoda; Insecta; Hemiptera; Aphididae. The record is from the annotation of a GenBank genome assembly.
UUUAGUACCAAUUUUAUGUACCUACUAAUAAUUUAGUGUACNAAUAACCCAUAGAAUGUAACUACUUACUCUUUCAUGAGGCAAGUUGUCACCUUUUGGUGUGAUAUGAAUAACAAACAUUUUAAACCCCCCUUAGACGUGCAAUCGAAAUCUGCUCAGAAUUGUUUUUUUAAAAGUAAUAUUUUAUCGUUGCUUACAGGUGUAUAUUAAAUUAUCUAUAACAGUGCCUGCUAUACCAAUUAAUUUUAUACACUGGUGUAUAAAUAUUAUAUAAUAAUUAAUUUUAUUAUCCAAUUUUAUGGAACGGUAUUUAAUAUGAAGUGGUUUUCAAUAGCUAUAAACUGUAUAAAUCCUCUCCGGAUAUCGUGGAAAAAUUUCAUCAAGAUUCAUGAAGAUUGGAUGAAUAGUGUAGAUAUCCAUAAAGGAGAAUUGAAUGUUAUUCAUAUCACACCGAAUUCAAAUACCAAAUUUGACUUUGCAUAUUUUGCAUAUUCGGAGGAUUGUUGCAUGUUAGUUCAUAAAUGCAUAUAACAUGUAUUUAUUAUUGGUAAAUCAAUUUUACUAUAAAAAAAAAGUUGUUAACAUUGAUUUUCAGAGGAAUUUUGUUAAAAUAUUGUUAUAUUUGCCACAGUGUAUGAAAAUAGAGUUCUAAUUUAUGACUCACCGUCACGUGUAUCUUAGUGUUAUCAACUUAUGAAUUAAUUUAUCAUUCUUGUCGUGUAUGAUGUGUCGUUAUAUUUUAAAAUCAUGUGUGGUAAAAAUCAUGUGAUUUUAGUUUUAUUAUUUUGAAAGUUUAUUGUUAGGUUUUCAGAUAUGUUAUUUUAAAUAAUAUAAUACAUAAUAAAUUGUUAUUAAAUUUAUUACUAUUCUUGGUGUAAUAGUGGUGUUUUAUUUUUUUAAAUAAAUAUUCCACCUUUUGUCACUUAAUUAAUAUAUCCUGUAUUUCACAUAUCAUCACUAAUGAGACACGAUCAAUUACUUCAGCAAUAUUAAUGGAAGGCGGGGUUAUAUGAUACAAUAUGGAUAUUUAAUUCUUAUCAUUUUCAUAUAAGCGAUUACUCCAUCUUAUAGAGCCACAUCGUAAUCAGUAGUCACAUUUAGAUAAAAACUUUAAUUGAGAUAAAUAUAACCUAAUUUUAUACAAUAUAUUAUAUUAAACGUGGUCAGUAAAAAGGUGACAACUUGCCUUAUGAAAGAGUAAAUAGUUACAUUCUAUGGGUUAUUUAUACACUAAAUUAUUAGUAGGUACAUAAAAUUGGUACUAAAAUUAUGUACCAAUAUUGUAAACAUUUGAUCAUAUUUAACAAAUUUUAAUUUCUUUAAUUAAGAAAUUAAUAAUAAGAAUCUAUUAAUUAAGUGAAAGGAUGUGCACUAUUAAAUCAAAAAUGCAUAGAUUCAAUUUUUAGAAAUGAUAUAUAUUUCAUUUUUAUUUUUCAUAGGUAUGUAUUUUUAACGCAGUUUUUAGGGGGGACAACAACAUGAGCACCCUGGUGGUGAAUAAGUACACAGCUUUUUCUUUGUACGUUCACUAAAACAGUCUGCGGGGCCUAUUAAUGGGGUUACUAUAAUACAGUCAUCGCCACAAUGGCCUUCGCCAUUCGUUGAAAAUACAUACAGUAAUACAAUAUAACACAGCGAACUAAUAAUAAACAUCAACUUCAUUAUAAUACGUGACGAAUAAUGUUACCAAAUUAGUUUAUUUAAUUUCUUGUAGUUGAAACAAUUCUGAUCCAAUUGAACGGACGUUGAAUGAAGUUUGACGCUGGUCAGUAAAGAAACGAGAAUCCCUGUUUGAGAUUACGAAUUGAUGGGAUGUUACCGUCUCUUUGUAAAACUGGUUCAGUAUAAUUAUAGUUUUCAAUGCAGAUUACGGGCUUAUGUACCGUAACAAAAGAAUAAAUCAUCGAAUUCAUCUAAAUUUUAAUAGUGAGUUGCAUUAUUUACAGAAAUGUGUUAAUUAUACACAAUUAUUUGAAAAGCGGAUAUUUCC